GACGAACCGUGCGAACGUUGUUCGGAAUCACUGGGCUUAAAGGGCGCGUAGGCGGCAUGCCGAGCCCGAGGUGAAAUCCCCCGGCUCAACCGGGGAAGUGCCUUGGGGACCGGCGUGCUCGAGGGAGGUAGGGGUCGCGGGAACUUCGGGUGGAGCGGUGAAAUGCGUUGAUAUCCGAAGGAACGCCGGUGGCGAAAGCGCGCGACUGGGCCUCUUCUGACGCUGAGGCGCGAAAGCCAGGGGAGCGAAC
This 250-nucleotide ribosomal RNA is filed under the name uncultured bacterium. Its description in RNAcentral is "partial 16S ribosomal RNA". It matches the Rfam family "Bacterial small subunit ribosomal RNA", at positions 524 to 773 of the family's 1533-position model. The record is from RNAcentral.